GGCUCAGCCGUGGGAAAUAUGAGUGAGCAUGUAAGAACAAGAUCCCAAUCCUCAGAAAGAGGAAAUGACUAAGAGUCUUCCCAGCCAGUUGUAUCUGUGAUUGUCCAGCAGCCCACUGAGGAAAAACGUCAAGAAGAGGAGCCACCAACUGAAAAUCAGGGUAUUGCACCUACUGGGGAGAUCGAAAAUGAAGCGGCACCUGCCCUUCAAGGACCUGAUGUGGAAGCUUUUCAACAGGAACUGGCUCUGCUUAAGAUAGAGGAUGCACCUGGAGAUGGUCCUGAUGUCAGGGAGGGGACUCUGCCCACUUUCGAUCCCACUAAAGUGCUGGAAGCAGAGGUAAUGGGCAACCAUAGGUUUAAACCAAGACAAAUGAAGACUGAAACCAAGAAUGUUGUUCUUAUGCUGGAAAUUUGACUGCUAACAUUCUCUUAAUAAAGUUUUACAGUUUUCUGCA
RNAcentral lists this long non-coding RNA (457 nucleotides) under Homo sapiens (human). RNAcentral's name for it is "non-protein coding lnc-PAGE5-1:1". The record is from RNAcentral. Lineage: Eukaryota; Metazoa; Chordata; Mammalia; Primates; Hominidae.